GUCGAGAAUAAUUCACAAUGGACGAAAGUCUGAUGGUGCAACGCCGCGUGGAGGAUGAAGGUCUUCGGAUUGUAAACUCCUGUCAUCGGGGAGUAAGACCUGGCGGUAAAUAGCCGACAGGGUUGAUAGUACCCGAAGAGGAAGGGACGGCUAACUUCGUGCCAGCAGCCGCGGUAAUACGAAGGUCCCAAGCGUUGUUCGGAAUCACUGGGCGUAAAGGGAGCGUAGGCGGCGUGGUAAGUCAGAUGUGAAAUCCCGGGGCUCAACCCCGGAACUGCAUCCGAUACUGCCAUGCUUGAGGGUUGGAGAGGUAGCUGGAAUUCUCGGUGUAGCAGUGAAAUGCGUGGAUAUCGAGAGGAACACUCGUGGCGAAGGCGAGCUACUGAACAACAUCUGACGCUGAGGCUCGAAGGCCAGGGGAGCAAAAGGGAUUAGAAACCCGGGUAGUCC
Molecule: ribosomal RNA, 450 nt
Filed under: uncultured bacterium
Lineage: Bacteria
Description: partial 16S ribosomal RNA
Rfam family: Bacterial small subunit ribosomal RNA
Source: RNAcentral